UUGGGUGAUGAAUUAAACGACUUUGGGAUUCCUCAAACCGAACAUAUCAUGUCGAUUACGUUGUAACUAGUUUCAGCCUUGUCUGACA
This 88-nucleotide small nucleolar RNA is filed under the name Thielaviopsis punctulata. RNAcentral describes it as "Ceratocystis radicicola A. fumigatus snoRNA Afu_455". It matches the Rfam family "A. fumigatus snoRNA Afu_455". Lineage: Eukaryota; Fungi; Ascomycota; Sordariomycetes; Microascales; Ceratocystidaceae. The record is from Rfam by way of RNAcentral.